UGUAACCUUUUCUUAUUAUUUCUUUUGAGAUGAAUUUCUCUGUCUUGGGAUUUUGUCUAGGUCUCAGUCUUCUUCUCUGUGUUAAGAAAG
Mustela erminea (ermine) is the source of this 90-nucleotide long non-coding RNA. RefSeq lists it as uncharacterized. NCBI's taxonomy places the organism in Eukaryota, Metazoa, Chordata, Mammalia, Carnivora, Mustelidae. The transcript has 3 exons. The record is from RefSeq and is a predicted model, not a curated record.